RNAcentral lists this long non-coding RNA (1429 nucleotides) under Apteryx rowi (Okarito brown kiwi). RNAcentral's name for it is "lncRNA (ENSARWG00000007268.1)". The record is from RNAcentral. Lineage: Eukaryota; Metazoa; Chordata; Aves; Apterygiformes; Apterygidae.
AUGGCUCAUUCGCUCAGUGCUUCAGUGCCAGGAGAGAGAUCAUGCCAAUUAUUAUUUAUAAACCCAGCUGGCAUUUCAGACGGGGACACACUGCCCUCGGAGCUAGCAGGCUGCAUCCAGGCUACAUCUCAAGGUCACGGCGUCAAACACAGCCCUCGAAGGGGCUCAGCGGGGUUGUCAGUGGGUCUGGAGUCCUGCYGGCCUGAGCAUCUGCUUCUGGGGAGGGAAAAUCACCCGUUGCCCCAGCACGAGGUGGCAAAGAUCAUCAGGAGCAACGUUUCUGCCGGAGAUGUCGCAGAGGCGAGCUUCCUCCUCAGCACCGGCAGCUCUUGCAGCCGCAAGCCCCCCGGCAAGCCACUCCGGGUCCGAACCUUGCAGAUGAGGCACCCGAUAACAUCCCUGUCUCCAUCUUCUGGUGAGCAGUUUUGAACUCCUUUCUGUUUGCUUUUGCUCCCAGAAGACCGAUGUCCAAAGGUGUCCUGCUCAGCCUGAAAGGAAGCGGCAAAACCGUGGGGCUCAGCAUCUCGGAGGCAUUGUGUCCUUCAAAGGCGACGAACAAACAGCCGUGCUCCUUUCCAGCCCCGUCAGGGAUCCUGAGGAAAUGCUGCAGUCAACACAUUUGGGCGCCGCUUCCUCCUCGCACUGAGAGCCUGUUUAAACACUUACUAAUGUAAAGAAGCUUUUUGCUGCCGUAAGGCAAUGUCUGUAUUUCCAGCGGGCAUCCUGGUUAAACACUGUGGACUUCUUAGAGUCACAGCCAGUCUCCGAAUGAAAAGGUACCUUGUUUGAAAAACAGAGGGUCUUUUUCUUCCACGGCCACCUAAAAUAUUGCACGUCACUGUUGAUGUUUUCAUUUUGAGAAUGAUGAGGUAAAAACACACUCUGCGUGGGCUAGGGGCGUUUUCUUUGGUUGAGAGUUUUAUUUUCUUAAUCGUCUGUCUCCUGCAUGAAGCUCGCAGGUGAAAAUGCUGAGGCUUUUAAAAAGAUGUGCCUCAGACCACGACAAAUAUUUUCCUGGAGAGCCAGCACACACACAAAGUGUUUGUGGAAGAGGAGGGCUGCUCUCCCUCCUGCCCUGGAGACAGCGAGUCCAUCGCAGACCCUUCCUGCCCCAGCUCCCCAUGGCCCCCAGGGCUCAGCCUCCACAAGUUGGCCCUGUGGCCUGAGCUGGAGCGAAGCUCACCCGUCAGCCUCAUCUCCCCAAAGGCAAGACCCGCGCUGGCCGUGGGUUAGCAAUGCCAUUGCAGGGAGCAGGAGGGUGUUGCAGGGCUUGCCUUGAAGCCCUGCUCCCAGAGGAAAGCCUUCAUGCCCUGGAUGGGUCUUCCUCAUCUGGCACUAGUCAGCAGGCAGCAAGGCCAGGCAUAACGCCGUCUCUUCUCUGAAUCGUGCCUUCGCAGGGCUGUGGUCGUCCCUGAUAGUGGUGACUGUG